GGAGGGUGCAAGCGUUGUUCGGAAUUAUUGGGCGUAAAGAGCGUGUAGGCGGUCCGGUAAGUCAGAUGUGAAAGCCCUGGGCUCAACCCAGGAAGUGCAUUUGAAACUACCAGACUUGAGUACGGGAGAGGAGGGGGGAAUUCCCGGUGUAGAGGUGAAAUUCGUAGAUAUCGGGAGGAAUACCAGUGGCGAAGGCGCCCUCUGGACCGAUACUGACGCUGAGACGCGAAAGCGUGGGGAGCAAACGGGAUUAGAUACCCUGGGUAGUCCACGCCGUAAACGAUGAGCACUAGGUGUAGCGGGUAUUGACCCCCCUGCUGUGCCGUAGCUAACGCAUUAAGUGCUCCGCCUGGGGGGCUACGGUCGCAAGACUA
Molecule: ribosomal RNA, 374 nt
Filed under: uncultured organism
Description: partial 16S ribosomal RNA
Rfam family: Bacterial small subunit ribosomal RNA
Source: RNAcentral